UACGGGGGGAGCAAACGUUGUUCGGAAUCACUGGGCGUAAAGGGCGCGCAGGCGGUGGCUCAAGCCAGGCGUGAAAUCCCCGGGCUUAACCUGGGAAUGGCGUUUGGGACUGGGUCGCUAGAGUGUGGCAGAGGGAGGUGGAAUUCCACGUGUAGCAGUGAAAUGCGUAGAGAUGUGGAGGAACACCGAUGGCGAAGGCAGCCUCCUGGGCCAGCACUGACGCUCAUGCACGAAAGCGUGGGGAGCAAACAGG
RNAcentral lists this ribosomal RNA (253 nucleotides) under uncultured prokaryote. RNAcentral describes it as "partial 16S ribosomal RNA". It matches the Rfam family "Bacterial small subunit ribosomal RNA", at positions 524 to 776 of the family's 1533-position model. The record is from RNAcentral.